This 301-nucleotide ribosomal RNA is filed under the name uncultured bacterium. Its description in RNAcentral is "partial 16S ribosomal RNA". It matches the Rfam family "Bacterial small subunit ribosomal RNA", at positions 509 to 807 of the family's 1533-position model. The record is from RNAcentral.
CAGUAGCCGCGGGAAUACGAAGGGGGCUAGCGUUGUUCGGAUUUACUGGGCGUAAAGGGCGCGUAGGCGGGCGAAUAAGUCAGGGGUGAAAUCCCAAGGCUCAACCUUGGAACUGCCUUUGAUACUGUUUGUCUUGAGUUCGAGAGAGGUAAGUGGAACUGCGAGUGUAGAGGUGAAAUUCGUAGAUAUUCGCAAGAACACCAGUGGCGAAGGCGGCUUACUGGCUCGAAACUGACGCUGAGGCGCGAAAGCGUGGGGAGCAAACAGGAUUAGAGACCCCUGUAGUCCCUGUCUCUUAUAC